GAAUNAUUGGACAAUGGACGCAAGUCUGAUCCAGCCAUCCCGCGUGAAGGAUUAAAGGUCCCUAUGGAUUGUAAACCUUCUUUUCUCUGGGAAUAAAAAGUGGGGUUCACCCUGCCUUGAAGGUACCAGAGGAAUAAGCACCGGCUAACUCCGUGCCAGCAGCCGCGGUAAUACGGAGGGUGCAAGCGUUAUCCGGAUUCACUGGGUUUAAAGGGUGCGUAGGUGGCUUUGUAAGUCAGUGGUGAAAGCCUGGAGCUCAACUCCAGAACUGCCAUUGAUACUGCUUAGCUUGAAUUAGAUGGAGGUGGAUGGAAUAUUACAUGUAGCGGUGAAAUGCUUAGAUAUGUAAUAGAACACCGAUUGCGAAGGCAGUUCACUACGUCUAUAUUGACACUGAGGCACGAAAGCGUGGGGAUCAAACAGGAUUAGAUACCCUGGUAGUC
This 443-nucleotide ribosomal RNA is filed under the name uncultured bacterium. Its description in RNAcentral is "bacterial SSU rRNA". It matches the Rfam family "Bacterial small subunit ribosomal RNA", at positions 358 to 795 of the family's 1533-position model. The record is from RNAcentral.